GACGGAGGAGGCAAGCGUUAUCCGGAAUUAUUGGGCGUAAAGCGUCCGCAGGUGGCGAUUCAAGUCUGCUGUCAAAGGUCGGGGCUUAACCCCGGGAAGGCAGUGGAAACUGAAUAGCUAGAGUGCGGUAGGGGCAGAGGGAAUUCCCGGUGUAGCGGUGAAAUGCGUAGAGAUCGGGAAGAACACCAGUGGCGAAAGCGCUCUGCUGGGCCUGCACUGACACUGAGGGACGAAAGCUAGGGGAGCGAAAGGG
This 253-nucleotide ribosomal RNA is filed under the name uncultured bacterium. RNAcentral describes it as "partial 16S ribosomal RNA". It matches the Rfam family "Bacterial small subunit ribosomal RNA", at positions 524 to 776 of the family's 1533-position model. The record is from RNAcentral.